RNAcentral lists this unclassified non-coding RNA (285 nucleotides) under Glomus sp. RNAcentral describes it as "partial contains 5.8S ribosomal RNA and internal transcribed spacer 2". The stretch from base 1 to 71 matches the Rfam family "5.8S ribosomal RNA", at positions 84 to 154 of the family's 154-position model. Lineage: Eukaryota; Fungi; Glomeromycota; Glomeromycetes; Glomerales; Glomeraceae. The record is from RNAcentral.
GUGAAUCAUCAAAUUUUUGAACGCAAAUUGCACUUUCUGGUAUUCCGGAGAGUAUGCCUGUUUGAGGGUCAUUUAAAUAAAAAUCGGUGUUUUGGCUUCCUUUCGUGGUUACGCGUCGGAAUUGGGUCGUCUUACCUUCGUUUAAGUUACUUAAAAUGUUUGCAUGAUUUUCGAACGUAUGUAAAUCGCUUACGUACGUUUGAGAUAUCGUAUGCUUGUUAGGUUGGGUCAUUCCCAUGAUUUGCGCCUAUAAUUUUUUCAUUAAUUGACCUCAAUUCAGUUAAG